CGAACGGGGAGCAGCCCAGAGCCUGAAUCAGUAUGUGUGUUAGUGGAAGCGUCUGGAAAGGCGCGCGAUACAGGGUGACAGCCCCGUACACAAAAAUGCACAUGCUGUGAGCUCGAUGAGUAGGGCGGGACACGUGGUAUCCUGUCUGAAUAUGGGGGGACCAUCCUCCAAGGCUAAAUACUCCUGACUGACCGAUAGUGAACCAGUACCGUGAGGGAAAGGCGAAAAGAACCCCGGCGAGGGGAGUGAAAAAGAACCUGAAACCGUGUACGUACAAGCAGUGGGAGCACGCUUAGGCGUGUGACUGCGUACCUUUUGUAUAAUGGGUCAGCGACUUAUAUUCUGUAGCAAGGUUAACCGAAUAGGGGAGCCGAAGGGAAACCGAGUCUUAACUGGGCGUUAAGUUGCAGGGUAUAGACCCGAAACCCGGUGAUCUAGCCAUGGGCAGGUUGAAGGUUGGGUAACACUAACUGGAGGACCGAACCGACUAAUGUUGAAAAAUUAGCGGAUGACUUGUGGCUGGGGGUGAAAGGCCAAUCAAACCGGGAGAUAGCUGGUUCUCCCCGAAAGCUAUUUAGGUAGCGCCUCGUGAAUUCAUCUCCGGGGGUAGAGCACUGUUUCGGCAAGGGGGUCAUCCCGACUUACCAACCCGAUGCAAACUGCGAAUACCGGAGAAUGUUAUCACGGGAGACACACGGCGGGUGCUAACGUCCGUCGUGAAGAGGGAAACAACCCAGACCGCCAGCUAAGGUCCCAAAGUCAUGGUUAAGUGGGAAACGAUGUGGGAAGGCCCAGACAGCCAGGAUGUUGGCUUAGAAGCAGCCAUCAUUUAAAGAAAGCGUAAUAGCUCACUGGUCGAGUCGGCCUGCGCGGAAGAUGUAACGGGGCUAAACCAUGCACCGAAGCUGCGGCAGCGACGCUGAUGCGUUGUUGGGUA
This 937-nucleotide ribosomal RNA is filed under the name Escherichia coli. Its description in RNAcentral is "partial 23S ribosomal RNA". It matches the Rfam family "Bacterial large subunit ribosomal RNA", at positions 254 to 1230 of the family's 2925-position model. Lineage: Bacteria; Pseudomonadati; Pseudomonadota; Gammaproteobacteria; Enterobacterales; Enterobacteriaceae. The record is from RNAcentral.